RNAcentral lists this ribosomal RNA (253 nucleotides) under uncultured bacterium. RNAcentral's name for it is "partial 16S ribosomal RNA". It matches the Rfam family "Bacterial small subunit ribosomal RNA", at positions 524 to 776 of the family's 1533-position model. The record is from RNAcentral.
UACGAAGGGGGCAAGCGUUGUUCGGAAUUACUGGGCGUAAAGGGCGCGCAGGCGGCCAAUCAAGUCAGGCGUGAAAGCCCCGGGCUUAACCUGGGAAAUGCGUUUGAGACUGAUAGGCUUGAGUUCGGGAGAGGAUAGUGGAAUUCCCAGUGUAGAGGUGAAAUUCGUAGAUAUUGGGAAGAACACCGGUGGCGAAGGCGGCUAUCUGGACCGAUACUGACGCUGAGGCGCGAAAGCGUGGGGAGCAAACAGG